CCCAGUGAGUAGAAACACUAAACAGUUCCUUAAUUACAUGCUCUCAUGAAAUGCAUCACAUCAUCACGGAUGGACAUGACCACCAAAACUCCCUCCAGUGUCAGUAUGUCUGGCCCGGCCAGGUCUUACAACCUCCAUAUGCCUGGCCCGACCAGGUCUUACAACAUCUGUAUGCCUGGCCCGGCCAGGUCUUACAACAUGUGUAUGCCUGGCCCGGCCAGGUCUUACAACAUGUGUAUGCCUGGCCCGGCCAGGUCUUACAACAUCUCUAGGGCUAUUGGGGUCGCCUUGGUCCAUCCACAUCAUCAUGUUCAUCAUAUUAUGCAAUGCGCCAGAUUCGUGAAACUAGUGCAAUCAACCUACUAUAAUCAUCAUGAUGCAUGAAACAUGCUAAAAGCAUUUUAUUUCUUACAAUAAAAGAUUAAGUUGCA
This 431-nucleotide long non-coding RNA is filed under the name Manihot esculenta (cassava). RNAcentral describes it as "long non-coding RNA (MESC_LNC009091)". The record is from RNAcentral. Lineage: Eukaryota; Viridiplantae; Streptophyta; Magnoliopsida; Malpighiales; Euphorbiaceae.